GCUAAUUAAAACCACUGAACUUAGCCUCUGACCUGCACAACAUGUUGGUGUCUUCCAAUGAAUUUCUCAUGAAAUAUCAGAAACAACGGAGGUUGCUGUGCCACUUGUUGCACUAACAGACCAUUCAAGAAGUCCGUGCUGCAGCUUCUCUCCGCACCUCCUCUUCUUCAACCUCCAUGGAUCCCUCCCCUCCUCGAGCUCCUCCCUCCUCCCUGCCUCCCUGUGUGCACCUCAUAAAUCUCCAUCUGCACCGCAUGUGCUGUGUGCGUGAACGCUCACAGAGAAAUCAGAAUGAGAGGAAUUGGGGAUGAGAUUGGAGGCACUUGGCGAGGUUUUAAAGAAGCUCAUUCCUCCUUCUCCCCGUACCCUCCUCCUGGCUCUGUUGCUCGCUCGCUCGCUCACUCCCCUGAGCUGCUACGCCGAUUCCGUCAUCACAACACACAGUGAGGCGUGCUGCUGGCGCUCACUCCCUGUAGCUCGUGGACGCACACACACACACGCAGAGCCUCACAGUGGAGCCAACAGUCAAGAUGCAGCAGCAGGAGAGCAUGUCUUCUGAUUCCUUGUCAGAGAACACAGAUAGAACCCCCUGCAGAUCGGACUAUAUGGAAUAAAUAAGAAGGAGGAAGAUAGGAUUCCCUCUUUGGACUUUUUUUUUUCCAAGAAGAAAACAUAUUUUGAUGAUUUCUUAUUUAUUUUUUGAGGUGUCUGAACUAUAAAUGAAUGAUUUUGUGAAUUAAUAGAAAUGUUCUGUGCUAUCUAAACAGCAUACUAUGACCAAAGUUCCUACUUAUUAGCUUCUAUGACAUAUAAAUCAUACUCUUCACAUAUUGUCAAUUAUAUAGAGAUGUACCAGGCUUCAUGGUGUUCUUUUUCUGGUAUAAAAGGGGCAAGAAAUUCUAAAUUUUUUACAGGAAUAUGCCCUUACAGCUUUAGUUAAGAUCAAUACAUGAAAGAUAUCCAAGACACCUCAGUUCUGUAGCCCAUAUGUUCAAGCUUUCAAUGCUAUAAGGGACCAAUUAUUUUAGAAUGAAAAAGCAAUAGACUCAUAAAGCAGUGUCUAUUAUAGCUGACAUUGAUUGGUUAACAUUUUUUAGUUUCUCUUUACAUAGCAGCAUUUCCUCAUACGUUAAGAUGCAAUACAGAACGAUACGAUAUAAUAUGUUAACAGUAAUGCACACACCAAUCACAUCAAUAAACAACAUACAUUGCACAUUACCCAGAUCUCCUGUUCUGUGUAAUAGACAACACAAAUAAAUGAAAAACAUACUAACACCAUAAAGCUAUUACAAAACCCCUACAACCUGAAGGAAAUACAAAUAAAAGUAACAUUAAAGGGAUAUUUCAGAAUUUUUGAUGUGGGGUUCUAUGAGUUGUAUGUCACUAGUAAAUGAACUAGCCACAAUGGAUGCCGCUAAGCUCAGCCCCUGUAAGGAGAAACUGCAGGGAGAAACAGUACGCAAGCUAGGCCACAGUUUUCUGCAUAUGGGGCCAAGUCUGCUAUGUCAUUUAGCUAAUUUUGAGAGACUCAGACCCAAGCACUCAUCUCGGUUUAAGUGUGCGAUCUACUGAGAAAUUUUGCAGCACUUUACUUUGCAAUCAGGAAGUCCAAUUCCAACACUUUUUUUUACAAUAUGACACAAUACUAAAUAAUAAACAACAUGAAUUGCACAUUGCCCAGAUCUCUUCUAUUCUUUAUAGUAAACAAAAAAACAAAAAACGUCAUCACACCAAAAAGUCAU
RNA transcript from Notolabrus celidotus (New Zealand spotty), 1742 nucleotides. RefSeq lists it as uncharacterized. The transcript has 3 exons. Lineage: Eukaryota; Metazoa; Chordata; Actinopteri; Labriformes; Labridae. The record is from RefSeq and is a predicted model, not a curated record.